GAAUGACUAUGGAAUAUUCAUGUUGAUGUUUGACAUGCCUGAAUCAGGAGGUGGUGGUGCCAUCAGUUACUACAGGCAUUUCCUCUGGCAAGCCAACAGUCAGUCACCAAACCAAUGAUCCAACUGGAUCUAAACGUUAUGGAGGUCACCCCA
Triplophysa rosa is the source of this 153-nucleotide long non-coding RNA. RefSeq lists it as uncharacterized. The record is from RefSeq and is a predicted model, not a curated record. The transcript has 3 exons. Lineage: Eukaryota; Metazoa; Chordata; Actinopteri; Cypriniformes; Nemacheilidae.